AGUGAACGCUGGCGGUAGGCCUAACACAUGCAAGUCGAACGGCAGCACAGUAAGAGCUUGCUCUUACGGGUGGCGAGUGGCGGACGGGUGAGGAAUACAUCGGAAUCUACUUUUUCGUGGGGGAUAACGUAGGGAAACUUACGCUAAUACCGCAUACGACCUACGGGUGAAAGCAGGGGAUCUUCGGACCUUGCGCGAUUGAAUGAGCCGAUGUCGGAUUAGCUAGUUGGCGGGGUAAAGGCCCACCAAGGCGACGAUCCGUAGCUGGUCUGAGAGGAUGAUCGGCCACACUGGGACUGAGACACGGUCCAGACUCCUACGGGAGGCAGCAGUGGGGAAUAUUGGACAAUGGGCGCAAGCCUGAUCCAGCCAUACCGCGUAGGUGAAGAAGGCCUUCGGGUUGUAAAGCCCUUUUGUUGGGAAAGAAAAGCAGCAGGUUAAUACCCCGCUGUUCUGACGGUACCCAAAGAAUAAGCACCGGCUAACUUCGUG
RNAcentral lists this ribosomal RNA (492 nucleotides) under uncultured bacterium. RNAcentral's name for it is "partial 16S ribosomal RNA". It matches the Rfam family "Bacterial small subunit ribosomal RNA", at positions 29 to 507 of the family's 1533-position model. The record is from RNAcentral.